CAUCUAUCCAGAGCGGCCGAGAGACCUGGCUCGUCGACGCCGCAGCAACCAUCCGCAGCCCCACGGGGCCGCGGAACGGUGCUCCCGCCAGGACCGAUGGAGC
RNAcentral lists this non-coding RNA (103 nucleotides) under Kocuria sp. RNAcentral describes it as "SAM-I sequence". It matches the Rfam family "SAM riboswitch aptamer (S box leader)". From Rfam's summary of the family: The SAM riboswitch is found upstream of a number of genes which code for proteins involved in methionine or cysteine biosynthesis in Gram-positive bacteria. The SAM riboswitch acts at the level of transcription termination control. Lineage: Bacteria; Bacillati; Actinomycetota; Actinomycetes; Micrococcales; Micrococcaceae. The record is from RNAcentral.